AGAGUUUGAUCCUGGCGUCAGGAUGAACGCUGGCGGCGUGCCUAACACAUGCAAGUCGAGCGAGAUACCUUCAAACAGAGAUUCGUCAACGGGCGGAGGUGGACAGCGGCGGACGGGUGAGUAACGCGUAGGUAACCUGCCUCAGGCUGAGGGAUAGCCUAGGGAAACCUGGAUUAAUACCUCAUAAUGCGUUGAAGUCACAUGGCUUUAACGCCAAAGAUUUAUCGGCCUGGGAUGGACCUGCGUCUGAUUAGCCAGUUGUGGGUAACGGCCUACCAAAGCGACGAUCAGUAGCCGACCUGAGAGGUGAUCGGCCACAUUGGAACUGAGACACGGUCCAAACUCCUACGGGAGGCAGCAGUGGGAAUAUUGCACAAUGGGCGCAAGCCUGAUGCAGCAACGCCGCGUGAGCGAAGAAGGCCUUCGGGUUGUAAAGCUCUGUCCUUGGGACGAAGAAGUGACGGUACCUAAGGAGGAAGCCCGGCUAACUACGUGCC
This 497-nucleotide ribosomal RNA is filed under the name uncultured bacterium. RNAcentral describes it as "bacterial SSU rRNA". It matches the Rfam family "Bacterial small subunit ribosomal RNA", at positions 8 to 509 of the family's 1533-position model. The record is from RNAcentral.